Molecule: ribosomal RNA, 395 nt
Filed under: uncultured bacterium
Lineage: Bacteria
Description: bacterial SSU rRNA
Rfam family: Bacterial small subunit ribosomal RNA
Source: RNAcentral
AAGAGUUUGAUCCUGGCUCAGGUUGAACGCUGGCGGCAGGCCUAACACAUGCAAGUCGAGCGGAUGAGAGGAGCUUGCUCCUUGAUUUAGCGGCGGACGGGUGAGUAAUGCCUAGGAAUCUGCCUGGUAGUGGGGGAUAACGUCCGGAAACGGGCGCUAAUACCGCAUACGUCCUACGGGAGAAAGCAGGGGACCUUCGGGCCUUGCGCUAUCAGAUGAGCCUAGGUCGGAUUAGCUAGUUGGUGAGGUAAUGGCUCACCAAGGCGACGAUCCGUAACUGGUCUGAGAGGAUGAUCAGUCACACUGGAACUGAGACACGGUCCAGACUCCUACGGGAGGCAGCAGUGGGGAAUAUUGGACAAUGGGCGAAAGCCUGAUCCAGCCAUGCCGCGUGU